This is a long non-coding RNA of Betta splendens (Siamese fighting fish), 1256 nucleotides long. RefSeq lists it as uncharacterized. The transcript is spliced from 2 exons. Lineage: Eukaryota; Metazoa; Chordata; Actinopteri; Anabantiformes; Osphronemidae. The record is from RefSeq and is a predicted model, not a curated record.
UAAAAUGUAGUAACCUAUGUGUGAGGCAAGUUACUAGCUAGCUAUGCUAACGGCUACAGCAAGUCGAGCCUUUGUCCCCUUCAAAUGUGCUCAUGUGGGCUCCUGCAGUGGCACACACCUGUGUGGAGAAAAGCUAAUGACUAACGGCAUCGAGCGGCUACAGGCAGGGAGCGGUGGGUCUAGCGUCUGUCCUUUUUCUGUAAUCGCAUACACCUGCGGGGAACAGCUGAUCGUUAUCGCCCUUCCAGCGCCGACAGACAGGAAGCGGUGGAUCUAGCUCGCUGUAGUAAGUUUGUGCUUGAUACUUGUGAUAUCUAAAUAUGUUAGUUGGGUCUGUUUAAAAUGCAGUAACCCACAUGUGAGACAAGCUAAUCGCUAGCGUCGCUAACGGCUACAGUGAGUCAACCGAGCCUUUGUCCCUUUCAAAUGUGCUACUCUGAGUUGGCGCAAUCACACACCUGUGUGGGGAACAGCUAAUAGCGAUGGGCCUUCGAUCGGCGACAGGCAGGAAGCGGUGGAUCGAGCUUUUGUCCUGUUGACGUGCUGUAGAGCUACAGCUGGUCGAUCGCUACAAAAAGAACCUGCAGAUGAACGCGGUUAUGUUUAUUACCCCGUCCUGUGUCACAGCCUAAAUCAACUUGUGAUUUUGGGUUAUGUCAUUGUUCUAUCAAAUUCUAACAUGAUAAGUUGGAAUGAUUACUGUGUUGUGUUUCAAGCUUAGUUGCUAAUUAGUCACCUCUCUACAAUACCUGCUGCUUAUCUGGUCAGUUACCUAUAGCUUGUACCAUAGCCAUUAUAUUUGUAGGACCAAUACAAUUUACAGUAAAUGUAACAGUCUUUUCUAUACUGUAGGAGGGCAAAUCCCAGUUACCCACAUGCAAGGAGGCUGUCAAACAGAGAAAUCACUGCAGACUGUUGGUACACAGACAUCUGCUGCCCAGCUCAGGAGUAAAGUACCUUUUGUUUUGAUGAGGUGAUGGUGAGGACAGCCACAGCUUCCAUCUGGUAGAGGACUGCUUCCGCUCAGUCUUCCAAAUAGUGAUGAGAACAAGGAUCACCACAUCUCCCUGUUUACCCUACUUUCAUGCAUUUCGUCUGCAAGGCCCUGCAAAAGCUUCUGACCUCAAACCCCCAGACCUCUUAAUUAACUCAGUAACCUAUACAUUGCACAUUGGAGUGUGAAGGUAACAGUUUGUUCUAACUUUGGAGUAGUGGUGUAUUUUUUUGGUUUACAAUAAAGUUGGCUUUAACUAUUA